UUCUCAUUGCUUCAGAUGGGAACCCAAGCAGAUUAUCAGUGCGAGUCUAAGAGCAAGAAAUAUAAAGGCGGAUGUUUCACGAGCAGCAACUGUGCGGCUGGGUGCCAGACUGAGGCCGGUUUCACUGGCGGGAAGUGUCAUUUCUUGCACGGAUGCUGGUGUACCAAACCAUGUACUGUUUAUUCUAUUCCCAACUGAGAAG
RNAcentral lists this unclassified non-coding RNA (202 nucleotides) under Hevea brasiliensis (rubber tree). The record is from RNAcentral. Lineage: Eukaryota; Viridiplantae; Streptophyta; Magnoliopsida; Malpighiales; Euphorbiaceae.